UGUUUACUUCCGGUGAUGAUUAUUUUCUUAUAUGCAAUGAAAUGUAGUGUGAACAUUUCACUGUAUCACUGGAAAGGAUUAAACUUUACACAUGCAAAGUAUUUCUUUGGUUGAAAUAAAGUGUUAACCAUGUUCUGAAGAGCAUUCUGUUGAAAAAUCUUAUAUGUGAAUUGGUCUGCAGAUGACACUUCAGCAUUAAAACAAAAGAUAUCAAGUUUUGAUGAAAAAGGAAGGAAGGAGGAAAAAAUGGACCAAAACAGACCAAAACAGACCUUCAAAUGAACUCUAAAAGUGUUAACCAUGUUCUGAAGAGCAUUCUGUUGAAAAAUCUUAUAUGUGAAUUGGUCUGCAGAUGACACUUCAGCAUUAAAACAAAAGAUAUCAAGUUUUGAUGAAAAAGGAAGGAAGGAGGAAAAAAUGGACCAAAACAGACCAAAACAGACCUUCAAAUGAACUCUAAAAGGUGCAAUAAAAUUGUUUAUCAUCUUAAAGUUGUCUUUUGUAUUCUAUUUAAUUGUUUGAAUGCAUAGAUCAUGAGUUUAUGAUCAGA
Long non-coding RNA from Mytilus trossulus (common blue mussel), 550 nucleotides. RefSeq lists it as uncharacterized. The record is from RefSeq and is a predicted model, not a curated record. The transcript is spliced from 5 exons. Lineage: Eukaryota; Metazoa; Mollusca; Bivalvia; Mytilida; Mytilidae.